Molecule: transfer RNA, 613 nt
Filed under: Vibrio parahaemolyticus
Lineage: Bacteria; Pseudomonadati; Pseudomonadota; Gammaproteobacteria; Vibrionales; Vibrionaceae
Rfam family: tRNA (bases 67-140)
Source: RNAcentral
AAACGAUGAUUACUCACGAUGAGUGUCCACACAGAUUGAUACGGUUUAUGUAAAAGAGACGAUACUGGGUCUGUAGCUCAGGUGGUUAGAGCGUUCGCCUGAUAAGCGAGAGGUCGGUGGUUCGAGUCCACUCAGACCCACCAAUUCCUUUUAGGGAGUUGGCAUACAGUAUCGACACCUUGAUGGGGCUAUAGCUCAGCUGGGAGAGCGCCUGCCUUGCACGCAGGAGGUCUGCGGUUCGAUCCCGCAUAGCUCCACCAUAUUUUGAAACAAUGGGCGAUUAGCUCAGUUGGGAGAGCACCUGCCUUACAAGCAGGGGGUCACUGGUUCGAGCCCGGUAUCGCCCACCAUCUUUAAGCGCAUUCGAUGAGUGCUUUUAAAAAUGGUUACUUCAUUAGAAGUGAUUAGCUCUUUAACAAUUUGGAAAGCUGACAAAACAACAAUUUAUUGUUGUUUGUAAAGUUCUCAAUGUUUGUCUUUAUGACAAACACCAAAAUAACACAUUCAAGUGUUCUUGGAAUUUGAGUCCGGCAAAAUCGAGUCUGCAUCAUGUAUAAAAAUUGCAGACAACUUUGGUGACUUGUCAUCAACUCGAAACUCCUUCGGGUUGUAU